AUGCACCAUAUCGUUGCUAAACUGCAAAAAUGCAUACCCCUUUUCGUUCUCCUCUGGCUGCAUAGGUGCAACAGCACGUGCCCCCGCCCGCUGAAAACAAAUUGCCCCCCUGACUCCCAGCCACCACGCAUCAACGCCGGGAAGCCGUCGCAUCGACGCCGUCUUGCAGUGUCCGGUGUGCCGCAUCGCGACACUAGCAGCACCACAAAAAGUCGAUGUUGCAUCGACGCACCAGAUGCUCCUAUAGCGUCGCGCCUCGCCUCCCCAGCGUGCUGUGUUGCAACACCGACGUCGAGCAGCCGGCGGCGAGCACCGACAUCGAGCUGCGGGCGCCUCCGACAACUACACCUCCCUGAUGCGUUGCAGCACCGACGUCGAGCAGCCGGCGGCGAGCUGCGUCGAAGCACCGGUGUCGAGCUGCGGGCGUCUCCGGCAACUGCGCCUCUCUACUACGUUGCAGCACCACGGCGCGAAAAAAGCUCCGACGCAGCACCGUCAGCGUCCCGGCGAAGCUCCAUUGCGGCCCCCGUUGUGGUCCAUUAUAACCGCAGCGUAGCUCCAUUGCAGCCACCGGCGCACGACGUUUCCACGAAGAUCCAUUGCAGCCCCGGUCGCGCUCCACUGCAGCCAACGUGGAGCUCCAUUGCGGAAACCAGCGAGCGGCGUUCUGACGAAACUCCAUUGCAGCCCCGACCACGGUCCACUGCAGCCGCGGCGGAGCUCCAUUGUAGCCCCACGGCACGCUCCAUUGCAACGCGGCCGACGGCGGCGGGAGCUGCGAUGCAGCUCCGGUGGGGCUUCAAUUCAACCACGUCAAAAGCUUCAACAACCUUGCUCCAUUUGCGGCCGCCGUGCCGGGCGCUACGACGCAAUGCACACGAUGACGGCGGAAGCCGUGAUGCAGCUACGGUGACGCCUCAACACAGCCACGGCAGAGCUUCGACAACCUCGCUUGCGCUCCCCUGCAGCCCCGGCGGCAUGAGGAUGAAUCAGGCUGCUCCCCUGCGGUGGGUGGGGCCUGCCAGUAUGUUUCAUCUCAUCCAACCACCUCAUCCCGUACAUGCUUUCCGUAAAUCAGUGCCCGUAAGUGUAGCAUUGUUGGAGAAGAUAAGGCUGGAGGGAGAAGAUAAGGUGGGAGCGGUGGGCGGGACACGUGUCGCGCAGACGACGGGGCUUACGACGGGGAGAAAUCAGUCGAUUGAAAAUAAACGUUUUCCUUUUAUUAAUGCAUGGAUGCUUCUUUGCAUGUCGGCGGGCCGCAACUACCUCAUGGCCCGGCCCGUACAAAACGCUUGGAUGGAUCAGUCAGUUACGGCCCGUAACUCACCACGUAUAAAUACACCGAUAACGAGGAGGGGCAUGGAUCUCACCUCCUGUCGUCUGCCUGCCGCCGUCGUGCUUCCUUCCUUCUCCGUACAUCAGUCCGGACUAGCUACCGGCCGGCCAUCUCUCUCAUCCAGCAUUUCCAAUUUCUCAAUGGGAUUUGGGGCUCCAUUGAUCCAAAGGCUUUUUUCGAAUGAUCCAAUGGAUUCUUGUGACCUGGAAACAGAGCCGUCCCCCCUAAGCACAGUAGAUAUCUUAUUCUACUCACCAAUUAAUGUCGAUCGGGUUUCUUCUUCAACAGGAAAUAUAGAUGGAUUAAUGGGCAAAUUGCAGAACCCACCAUCACCAUAUCAAGAUCAUUCACUAGAUCAUUGCAAGGUUUCAGGAAUCAUGAUGGGGGAGCCCAGCGACAGAGCUUCCUCUCGGCCAGAAUCACUCUCGGAUCUUUUUCAAGCCCCUCCACGAGAGGAGUGGAGGGUGCAGAUUGUUAAGGUUGCAGAAUACAUACCCAAGGUUCAAGGCGAGCCAAAGCGAACAUUGUGGCGGCUAAGUACUUCAAAUAAGUGCAAAUAUUGGGGUCCUAAGGGACCAGCCGGGGUGCCCCUCGACCCUCCUGCAAAUAUUGUUGAAUCUGCCCCACCAGAGGAGCUGGAGCCGGCUACUGAGGUUACCGCGCCAUCAUCAUCGGAAGAAGAACAGGCCGAUAGAUGCAAUGCAAGGAGGAAAAGAAUGCGUUCAAUCCAUUCCAACGACAUGUUCAAGUACCGUGGGUGCUCGUGGCCGCAGGUGGUGGGUCUCAAAGUGCACAAGGCCAAGAGGAUCAUCAUGAAGGGCAAGCCGGACCUCUCUUGCGAAGUCGUCCUGGAGAACCAGCUGAUGACCAUGUGCUACUGCUCGAGGCGUGUUCGGGUCAUUGUAGACAGGCACAACAAUGUCGUGCAAACCCCUCGUGUGGGUUAA
RNAcentral lists this ribosomal RNA (2283 nucleotides) under Triticum aestivum (bread wheat). RNAcentral describes it as "partial small subunit ribosomal RNA". Lineage: Eukaryota; Viridiplantae; Streptophyta; Magnoliopsida; Poales; Poaceae. The record is from RNAcentral.